GACGAACGCUGGCGGCGUGCUUAACACAUGCAAGUCGAACGGAAAGGCCCUGCCUUUGUGGGGUGCUCGAGUGGCGAACGGGUGAGUAACACGUGAGUAACCUGCCCCUGACUUUGGGAUAACUUCUGGAAACUGGGGCUAAUACCGGAUAGGAGCUCCUGCUGCAUGGUGGGGGUCGGAAAGUUUCGGCGGUUGGGGAUGGACUCGCGGCUUAUCAGCUUGUUGGUGGGGUAGUGGCUUACCAAGGCUUCGACGGGUAGCCGGCCUGAGAGGGUGACCGGCCACAUUGGGACUGAGAUACGGCCCAGACUCCUACGGGAGGCAGCAGUGGGGAAUAUUGCACAAUGGGCGGAAGCCUGAUGCAGCAACGCCGCGUGCGGGAUGACGGCCUUCGGGUUGUAAACCGCUUUCGCCUGUGACGAAGCGUAAGUGACGGUAACGGGUAAAGAAGCACCGGCUAACUACGUG
Molecule: ribosomal RNA, 468 nt
Filed under: uncultured bacterium
Lineage: Bacteria
Description: partial 16S ribosomal RNA
Rfam family: Bacterial small subunit ribosomal RNA
Source: RNAcentral